Non-coding RNA from Pimephales promelas (fathead minnow), 2774 nucleotides. The record is from RefSeq and is a predicted model, not a curated record. NCBI's taxonomy places the organism in Eukaryota, Metazoa, Chordata, Actinopteri, Cypriniformes, Leuciscidae.
UAUAAGCAAGCCCAAUUAAAUAAAUGUGUAGCACUUUAUUCGUAGGCUUAGUCCACAAAUUCAUUGGUGCGUAAUCUGUUGGUUUUUCAACAAAUUCGGCGACAGUGCGAUCAAGUUUACAUACAAUUUGCUUAUUUGGAAAAAAAAAAUAAUAGGACCAAAAUACAUACAUAGGCUAGCCUAUAUCUUGUUGUUAUUUUUAUUAUUUUAUUUUCUAACGAGGACAGUUCAUCUGCAAGGUCAUUUGGAAAGCGACUUACCCCAGCUCAUAUACUGUUGUUAUUGUUAUUUUUUUUUUUCACAUUUUUUAUUGCUAUAUGUCUAACGGUUAAUUUUGAAAUCUGAGAAUCAUAUAUCUCUGUGCUUCAUUGAGAACGAUCGGAGCAAACCAGAUUUGAGAUUAUUAAUAAUUUUAGGAGCAUACUUUAUUUUCAGGUGUCAUAAAUCCGUGCCAGUGCAUUAGCAUUGAGAUGUUAUGGCAUCUUAUAAUUACUUGAUAAUUUCAUUCGCACUAUGUUAGAAUCACUGCCGGGAUAGACUUUCAAUGAUUAGCAUUAUUUUGACAUAAGCUUCUUUAUUUCUUCAUAGCUAUUAUCAACAGAUGCGCUUGGAAUGCAUGAGCAGAGACUCGAUUCCAACAAUGUGCGCUCAAUUCUGGGCACGAGGUGUUUUUUUAUAAUACAAUAGCGGUAUCUUGUGGACAGAGGUGGAAACUGCCACCAUUAAGAGACUAAAUGUGUUUCCAUAGCAACUUUACAGACUAUUCUGGAAACACUGGGGUAUUAUUGUUUCCUUAAUUUACUCUCAUGAAAUAUAGUUUCCGGUGUUUUUAUUAUAAAACAACGACAUUCUAUAAGAAAUGUAUUUAAUUAUAAACCCUCAGAUAGGCAGGUUUACCUUCUUAUUAUUAGCCUAGUCAAACUAAACUAAGCUAGAGGCUCAUCCCGCGCAUCACAUGUGAAUAUAAUAGAGCGAUCUACAACGACGUAGUAGCCCACAACACACACAGUAGUGACGCAUCUACAUUUCUGCUCUGCAACAGCAUCAAGAGGGAAUCACGAAUUCAGCUCAAAAAGGGAUUCGCUAUGACGUCACUGUGAUGAACAAAACCCCCAUCUGCCUAUUGGCUGGAAUAUAAACUCUUGUAACGUCAACAACGGACUAACUGAAAAUGGAAACGCCACAUCAUCAAGUUCUUCUUACUUUCUGCUCCUUUCAUGGGAUUUUCACAAUAACGAGAAGAGUUCAGACAGGAUGAGGUACAGUCAUGAAUUUGGACUUUCCUUCCUACAGAUUAUCGUCAAGGACAAUAUGAAUCUUCACCAGGGCAGCACUACACGGGACGACACAAACUCCACAUGUUCGCAUUUAAGCAGGCAAUCAUUUGUUUCCUAUCUAAGGAAUCGUGUUCAACGCCUCAAACGGAUCAUGUGAGGAAAUAUGGACAACGUGAUAUUGUGAUGAAAAUAAAGAAGAUGCUUUGAAGCACAUUGAGGUAGAAACAAUUUACUUGAAAUCAGAGAUUACAAUCACAAACCAUUUGUGAGAUGCUUCCUGAUGUUUAUUUGCCCCCAAAACAACAACAUUGCUACUGGGACGGGCUAGUGUGUGUGCAUACAUGUAUACAUAUGUCUUCAGACCAGCAAUAUGUCAUGUUUAAGCGUUACAGAUCAUGUGCUAUACCAAAACAUAUUAUGGCAUGCAUAGAAAGUUGGGCAUGGAAUAAAUCUUGAUCAUUUUGUUAAUUUAUCAUUUUAUUUAUUGUUUUGGACAACAAACUCACUAGUCAGCGGGAACAAUUACCAAUGACGAGAAAUUACUUGACUGUUUAGGUUAACAUUGUUAAAUAUCUAUUUUUUCAAGUAUUAUAGGUUUUUUUAUUAAAAAAAUGGAAUCGGUUAAACUGGUGACAGGUUAUUUUUCUAGCUUUUUAAAGUUUUGCUAAAUCAUUUUGAAUAUUCUGCCUGAAGUGAAAAGCAAAUGUGUGGAUGUAGAAAUUCUGUCAUGAUUAUGGCACCUUUCCUUUUAUGCAGUACAAACACUGAAGCACAAAUGUUGCUGCAGGUUUGUGUCUUUAAUUGUUUUAUGAUUGUUGUUAUAGUUUCAUAAUCACCCAUCACUGAAAGCAUCUACCUCGCCGUUUUACUGUGCGCUUACCUCUCUGUGUUGAGUUACGUCAAGCAGAUCACAAGCCUUAUUUCUGGAAACAACUCGAGCAAACAGUUAUUGUUGGAUGUGUGUUGUUCUGGCUUUUUCCAUCCUCAACUUUAGAAGUCCAGGAGAAAUAUUACUAAUUAAUAGUCUAUAGAUAGCAAGUCAAAAUUCAGUUCAGAAUUAAAUUGAUUGUAACGUAUUACGCCUGUUUUCUGUUAAUAGCGAUGUGUAGGACUAUGAAGUCGAAAACUAUAAACAUAUUUUAUUAGGCCUAGGUAAAAUAUGGGAAGUUGCAAUGUGACAGACAUGAUCAUGAUACCGAUUGUAUGAGAAUUAUAUUAGACGAAAUGUAUACAAACCCAUUUAAAUGAAGAAUUAUUCUCAUGUCUGUUCACAAGCACAUAUGUACUGCAUUCAUUUUAACUCCUGAAAUGCUGACUUUUCACAUACGUACUGCAUCAUGUCAAAUGAAUGUCCGGCAUCCAGGACAUCAUUUUGCUCGAAAGCUUCAAUGCUCCGGGGUCUUCAAGAUGCUUGAUUAUGGUUUCUUUACACUGCCAUUAUUUUCUCUUCCAUUUCAUUUACAAUCUAUUUUCGAUAAAUAAACACGUGUCAUCUGU